Lemur catta (Ring-tailed lemur) is the source of this 441-nucleotide long non-coding RNA. RefSeq lists it as uncharacterized. NCBI's taxonomy places the organism in Eukaryota, Metazoa, Chordata, Mammalia, Primates, Lemuridae. The record is from RefSeq and is a predicted model, not a curated record. The transcript is spliced from 3 exons.
AAUUUACAGCACAGUGGGCGGGGGCCUGGAGCCCUGCAAGGACACACUGCAACAUGCAGUCCCAUCAUUUCCUGCCUUUCCUCUUUGGUGUAGGCUGUAGGGUCAUUAGAAAAUGAACGCAGGUAUUUUUCAAUAUGGGAAAUGUCAGAAAGGGAGAAGGGAAUAUGCACCCAUAAGAUGCCCUCCGCGCCUGCCACCUCCCGUAACGGACAGAGGAGAGACUCUUCGGAGGGAUUUACACGAGAGCAAGUGUGAUGGCUGAUGGGAGAUGUCAGCGGGAGAUGGGAAUUAUGUGUGAAGUCAUCGAUCAAUACGGGGAAAGUGUACGUUGGUUUGGCCCCAAAAGGCAAGACAUCUUGAAGCCGAGGAUGACAGAGUUUAAGCUGAUACUUGGAGGAUGGAUAUAGAUAUAGACAUUUUUUCUCUCCCUCCCUCCGCCCU